GAUUCAGACCCUGUCAGUGUACCAGGUGGACAUUGGGUUUGAUUCAGACCCUGCCAGUGUACCAGGUGGACAUUGGGUUUAAUUCAGACCCUGCCAGUGUACCAGAUGGACAUUGUGUUGAUUCAGACCCUGUCAGUGUACCAGGUGGACAUUGGGUUUGAUUCAGACCCUGUCAGUGUUCCAGGUGGACAUUGGGUUUGAUUCAGACCCUGUCAGUGUACCAGGUGGACAUUGGGUUGGAUUCAGACCCUGUCAGUGUGCCAGGUGGACAUUGGGUUUGAUUCAGACCCUGCCAGUGUACCAGGUGGACAUUGGGUUGAUUCAGACCCUGUCAGUGUUCCAGGUGGACAUUGGGUUUGAUUCAGACCCUGUCAGUGUACCAGGUGGACAUUGGGUUGGAUUCAGACCCUGUCAGUGUGCCAGGUGGACAUUGGGUUUGAUUCAGACCCUGCCAGUGUACCAGGUGGACAUUGGGUUGAUUCAGACCCUGUCAGUGUUCCAGGUGGACAUUGGGUUUGAUUCAGACCCUGUCAGUGUACCAGGUGGACAUUGGGUUGGAUUCAGACCCUGUCAGUGUGCC
This 580-nucleotide long non-coding RNA is filed under the name Salmo salar (Atlantic salmon). RNAcentral's name for it is "lncRNA (ENSSSAG00000089171.1)". The record is from RNAcentral. Lineage: Eukaryota; Metazoa; Chordata; Actinopteri; Salmoniformes; Salmonidae.